AGGGCCUAGAAGGUAUCGUAGGAGUUAAUUACAGCGGAGUUGAGAUAAGUAAGCCUGUAAGCUUUCGGUGACAAGUUGAGUCUGGGCAGCAUGGGGUGUAUCUCGUGUGAUCAUGUAACUGCGUGUGGUCUUGGCCAUCUUCCGCUGAAAGUUUUUUUUAAUUUAUUAAACUUAUCGAGGAUGUUGUCGUUUAAAUUUUCUAUUACUUUUCCCUAAGUGGUAAUACUUUAUUUUUAACUAGGUACCCAUGUUUUAAAAAGUGUUAUUUUUUUUUAAUAAAGGCAACAUUAGUAUCUUAACGCCAGUUUAUUUAUGGCAUCUUAUUUUACGUAAGUGAGGGCGUUACAAAUGGUAUCAGAGCCUUGACCCAGCCGGAAGUGUGGUCGACGAGGACGUCGGACCCUGUAAGGGGGGUGAUUGUGACAGUCAAUAGUCCCGUGAUCCGUAAGGGGAAACACCGGGUAAGCUGUGCAAUCCCACACCGCCUGGGGAAGGUCAAGUGGGAUGAUUCUGAGACUGUGUAGGUAUGGGACUACACAGUUAAAGAGAGCUUAAAUGGAUUGAUUGGUACUACCUAUAUCAACAAGGUGCAUCUUGUUUUUC
Cannabis sativa is the source of this 603-nucleotide long non-coding RNA. RefSeq lists it as uncharacterized. The record is from RefSeq and is a predicted model, not a curated record. Lineage: Eukaryota; Viridiplantae; Streptophyta; Magnoliopsida; Rosales; Cannabaceae. The transcript has 2 exons.